This is a long non-coding RNA of Pan troglodytes (chimpanzee), 569 nucleotides long. RefSeq lists it as uncharacterized. The transcript has 2 exons. Lineage: Eukaryota; Metazoa; Chordata; Mammalia; Primates; Hominidae. The record is from RefSeq and is a predicted model, not a curated record.
UUUUGCACAAGGUUGGUAACCCUGAAGAUUUUCUUUCACUGCAAAACAAAGGGUCGUUCUUCUGAAGAUGUUUCAUAUAUCCUCGUUUUUAAAUGUUGUUUAGAAGAGGAAGGAAUGCCGUGGUUUAAGUGAUAUGGACAGGAGAUGGAAAUACUGGGUAGAAAAGGGCAGUUCCCUGGCAAAGCCUCACCCUCAAGCCCGGAUACCUGCUGUCUUAAACGAAAACAGGCAUUUCUGUGUUCGUGCUCCAAAAGUUGUCUUUUGGCCCGCCCCACACCCCCUAUCCUGCACCCAUAUGAAUCCCGAACCCCAGACUCCAGAAGCAGACCAGCAAGCCCGCAGACCAGCAGAAGGAUGGCAGAACGAUGUGGCAGAGGAAAGGAGAAGAGGAGGAACAUCUGAAUGUCAAAAUGAGUUCAGCUGGGGGCAGUCAGAGAGGAGUCCAGCCACUGGGCAGCCGGAAUCCAGGGGAGGAUCACCUUUCCACUUCAUCCCCUUCCUCUGCCUCCCCAUCCAUCCUGCUGAAAGCCACCUCCACCACUCAAUAAAACCUGCCAUUCACCCUUGGA